GGAAGGUCCGGGCGUUAUCCGGAUUUAUUGGGUUUAAAGGGAGCGUAGGCCGGAGAUUAAGCGUGUUGUGAAAUGUAGGUGCUCAACAUCUGCACUGCAGCGCGAACUGGUUUCCUUGAGUACGCACAAAGUGGGCGGAAUUCGUGGUGUAGCGGUGAAAUGCUUAGAUAUUACGAAGAACUCCGAUUGCGAAGGCAGCUCACUGGAGCGCAACUGACGCUGAAGCUCGAAAGUGCGGGUAUCGAACAGGAUUAGAUACUCUGGUAGUCCACGCCGUAAACGAUGACUACUAGGUGUCGGGGAGCAAAGCUCUUCGGUGCCGCAGCAAACGCAAUAAGUAGUCCACCUGGGGAGU
RNAcentral lists this ribosomal RNA (355 nucleotides) under uncultured bacterium. RNAcentral describes it as "bacterial SSU rRNA". It matches the Rfam family "Bacterial small subunit ribosomal RNA", at positions 527 to 881 of the family's 1533-position model. The record is from RNAcentral.